AAGAAGUUAUCCCUUUUUACAAAUCAAGUGAUUCUAGUUUCCCAGUUUGGUAAUGAGACAACUGCUUCAUCGUUCCAAUCGAACUAGGAUGAACCACUUUAUAAGAAGCCUGAUAUGGAUACAUAAAGUGGUGGAGAAUGACCAGGAAGUUGAAUAAAUCUCAUAGGAGUAGGGAAGAAGAAGUUAUUCCACUUUCAAAUCAGUUGAUUCCAGUUUUCCAGCUUGGGAAUAAGACAACUUCUUCGUCGUUCCAAUCGAACCAGGAUGAAUCACUUUGUAAGAAGCUUGAUAUGGAUACAUAAAGUGGUGGAGAAUGACCAGGAAGUUGAAUAAAUCUCAUAGGAGUUGGGAAGAAGAAGUUAUCCCACUUUCAAAUCAUUGAUUCCAGUUACCCAGUUUGGGGAUAAGACAACUUCUUCGUCGUUCCAAUCGAACUAGGAUGAAUCACUUUGUAAGAAGCUUGAUAUGGAUACCUAAAGUGGUGUAGAAUGACCAGGAAGUUGAAAAAAAUCUCAUAGGAGCUGAGAAGAAGAAGUUAUCCCACAUUCAAAUCAGUUGAUUCCAGUUUCCCAGUUUGGGAAUAAGACAACUUCUUCGACGUUCCAAUCGAACCAGGAUGAAUCACU
Molecule: long non-coding RNA, 626 nt
Organism: Brassica rapa (field mustard)
Lineage: Eukaryota; Viridiplantae; Streptophyta; Magnoliopsida; Brassicales; Brassicaceae
Source: RefSeq, a predicted model, not a curated record